UGCAAGUUUCAAGCUAACCUUGCUUAGUCCGCCAUAUUUUAUUUCACAGUAAGGGAAAAUCACAAAAUUAUCGUUUUUAAAAAUGUGAAAUAGUGCAAGAUAUAAUUUUAUACGUUCAAGUAAUAAUGGCAAAACAAAACGACAUUAAUUUCUACGUUUCUUCGUCUUCAAUGGAACAUGAUUCUGAAAAGUCUUUUGUGAAGAAAGUAAAAUCACGCGUUUCUGACCUCAUUCCGGCUUCUAUAAGCAAGUGGUUUGGCAGUGAGGAUAAUUCUGGACGAUCCAGGGAAGAUGAUGGUGAUAUCUAUCAAGUCGAACCACCAUUGAAACGAGCCAGGAUCCCAUCUAGGGAAAAAAUUGAAAAUAGUUUGUCAAACAACUUCUCCACAACUACUCCACACAUACACUAUGCACCAGUUAGUGGUUUGGAUGUUAUAAGUGACAAUUGUGUUAGCGUUAAUAAUAAAAAGGCUUCCAAGCGUAUGCUUAAUAGUUUGUCUGAGCCGGAAGCAGGUCCUUCAGGUAUCAAGUCAAGGAAAUUGUUAAUUUCUAGUGGUGUUACAGUGCAAACAGAUCAGAGAAAGCUUACUGAAACUAAUAUAAACGGUGACAAGAAUUCUGAUAGUGAUGAAUCUACAAGUGAUUACUCCUCGAUGGCUAGAAAUGGUAGUAGAGAAGCCACUAUAAGUAAAAAACCUCACAUAGAGGAGUUCAAGUCUCAUGAUUCUAAUCCAAGCCGGGAAAUAAGAGAAAGAUCAGUAAUUAGCCAAACUCGAUCGCUGUUCAGUGAGAGAGGUGUCAGUCCACAUUCUAACUCUUCCCUUAGUUCUCGAAGGCCAUCAUUCAACGCUUCUACCUUUGGCUCCCCAGAUUUUGUGGACAGAACCCUGACAACCAAAAGAAUAAUACAUUCACCAUUUUACGGUGGCCGUACAACAUACGGAGGGGCAUCUGCCUAUUCUCAUAGACUGAAGAAAAACGCCGAUAUUAAGAAUUCUCUUCGAAACGCAUUUGAAGUGAAACCAGCUAACGAAUCUGUAAAAACCGAGAAUGCCACAUUAAGCAAAACGGCCAGGCGAAUUUUGGACACUCUAGAACAGUAUACGACACCCGUUUCGGAGGCCAAGAAAAUACCGAACCCUUCGUUACGAAGGGGUACUACAAAGAGGGAUGGCCUUUUAUCAAAAUAUACAGGAGCAAAUCCUUACUUUGUACGCGAACCUAAAAACACACCUUCAAGUAAGGAACUUCAAGUUCCCACAGUCCCUGAUUUAUUAAAAAUGAAAUUAAAAGAAAAACUACAAGAUAGUACUGUUGCUGUGAGACAGAUAGCUGCUACUUCAAAGGCUGCUCAAAACGCAGAUGAAUACAAACUGAGAGAUAAAGACGACGAACAGGCAACAUCGAAACACGUGAACAAAAUGAGAAAUAAAGUGUCGAAUAUACGAAAACGAACAACCGACACAAUGGAACAGGAAAAGGUGGAGCAAGUAAAACUACCAGACAUUGCGUUACCCAUUACUACGUUGCCCAAGUUUGAUUUUGGCAUCUUACCCACCACGUCGGCAUCUGGGAUGGUAACAAAAGCAGUUACCACCACGUCAACGCGAGUAGUUACGAAAGAAACUGAAACUGAAACGGACGAGGGAACCAAAAGGGAAAAACAAGUCACGAAGAUAUCCAUCACCAACGAGUCAAAGAAGAUCACAAGCGAAGAACCGAAACUAUUCGAAGUGAAUGAUGCGCCAUUCAAAUUUGCAAAACCUGUUGUAUUGUUAUCGAAUAAUUUAAAGAGUAUAAUUGGCAGCAACGACUUCGUCUUUAGUAAGCCAUUGAACCAGAAAGAAGAAGUUCAAAAUAACUUCAAGUCCUCGUCCAGUAAAUACGAAUUAAAACGAAAAUCUCAGAGCGGAAUCAAUUUUCUUCAGACGGCGAAAAUGGACCUUAUGAGUGCAUUUAAACCAUCAGCCAACACUUGGGAAUGUAACGUAUGUCUAAUAAGAAACGUACAAGACAGAGACAAGUGUGCUGCAUGUCAGGCCGAAAGGGCAUCGAAACCGCUGCCUACUGCUACUGCUUCUAUAAAAAACCACGAUUUUGGUAACAAAUUUAAACUGACGUCGGAUGUCAGAAACAAGAAUAUGGACACAAAUUGUGUGGCAAGUACGACUCCAAAACCUAUUAUUGAAAAUUCUUUUUUGCAUACAACCAAUGAAGGUUUCGGAGACAAAUUUAAACCUCCAUCAGAUACAUGGGUGUGCGGUGUUUGUAUGAUUAGAAAUAAAAAUGACUUAGACAAAUGUGCGGCUUGUGAAUCGCCCAAUCCAAACGCGCCCAAAAAGUCAACUAGUUUUGCGGACGCAUUUAAAAUGAAAAAGGAUGAAUGGGAAUGCCCCAUUUGUAUGGUCAGAAAUCCAGAAACUAAAGGCAAGUGCGCAUGUUGCGAGACCCCUCGUCCAAAACUUCAAUCAACGGAUAAGUCAGUUUCUGAAAAUAAAAACACUAUGUCCACAUUCAAUUUUGGAAUUAAUGACGCUGUCGGCGUUGUCACAUCCAAAGGGUUUACGUUUGGCAUUCCUAAGGACUUGAGAGAGACAGAAAAGACAUCAAAGCAAGACUUCUCCUUUGGAGUACCUAAUGAGAAAAACGUGUCUGCUUCGGAUGAAACCAAGCCUGUGCUUUUCAAUGGGGCGACCAAUAACAACAAAAAGGACACAGAGACAUCGGAAUCGAAUAAUAAUUCUAAACCUACUUUUUGUUUCGGAAUUACGACUACAUCUUCUGUUGCCACCCCCUCAUCGAAAUCUGUUGUAAGUACAGCGAAUUCCACCGAAACAACGGUUACGAGUAGUACAACUAUCACCACCACUUCCAGUUUCGGUUUUACCACCAAGACGUUAGAAUCGUCAGCUCCUUCGUCUUUCGUUUUCGGCGCUUCUACAGUGAAAGAUUUUGAUUCGAAGGCGCCAACUGAAACUAACGUAAUUCCCACACCCAUAUUCAAACAUGUUCCAGAAAAAAAGUCGGAUUCUUCUGCCACUAUUACGUCGACGAUGUUUGCAAACAAGGCAGACUCUAGCACGACGAAAACGAAUACGGUCCCUGCUCCAGUACCCGGAUUGAGAAGCCCAGCAACAACAAACAAGCCGUCGUCUAUAUUCGGAACAUCGGCGAAGCCAGAUUCGAGCACAUCGAUAUUUGGGUCGCCAGCUCCUCCUAAGGUAGAAGUGCCGGCGCCUAUUUUUGGAUCGUCCACUUUUGGAAAACCAACACCAGUUGCAUUUGGAACAGCUAAACCGGACUCCAGUACAUCAUCAAUUUUUGGUAGCAACAACAGCACUGGAGAUACAGACAACAAACAAAAAACCGAUGCGGUUUUUAAAUUCGGUACAACACCAACUCAGGCAAUUUCAUUUGGUGGAGCCUCGUCUUCUUUUCAAACGACUCCGUUCAUUACGUCGUCUAUUCCUGCUCCUACUUUUAGAAUGCCUGUAACAUCUACGACCGACCAAGGAGCGUUUUGUUUUGGUCAAGAUACGUCUACGAAACCGUUUAAUUAUGGACAACAGCCACAGCAAACUACGGAAGUAACGAAACCUGCUGCAGGUUAUUCCUUCGAGCAACAAGGAAAUAAGCAGCAACAAGAACAAAAAUUCAAUUUUGGUAGCAACAGUACUUCGUCGGCAGGAUUUAGUUUUGGUGCAAGCAGUAAUCCAACGGUCGGUGGUCCUGGUUUUAAUUUCAAACCGAUGUUUGAUUCUUCACAGCAGCAGCAGCAGCAGCAACAAACUACUAGUAUAUUUGGAAAUAGUUCCGCUACAGCGGCGUCCUCGGUUGUUUCCCAACAGCCUCCUCAACUUUUACAGAACGGCGGAUUCAAUUUUGGAAACGUUCCACCCAAGGGAGGUUUUAAUUUUGCACCUCAAUCAGGACCAUCUGCUGCGCCUGGAGUAUUUAGCUUCGGUGGUACGGGUACUAACGCGGUUCCAGAAGCACCGGGAAAUAGUGGGGGUUUCAGUUUCGGAUCUACUCAGUUUAACGCAAAUGUAAAGCCCAAUUUCAAUUUCACUGGUGCUGUACCACCCACAUUUUCUGCAACCACCGAUCCAUCAUCGUCAGUACCAGCAGGACGGAAAAAGAUCAAAGCAGUUCGUCGAAAUCAGCAACGAUAGCUUAGGAGCUAAGGCCUCGGGCCGGGGACGAGACCUUAGUACAUAUUAUUGAAUAGUGAAGAAUUCAUUUUCAUUCGUGUGGAUUUUUAUUCGAAGAAAAAUGUUGACAACUAUUACGAAUUAAUCAAUCCAAAAGAGAAAAGAGAAUUCAGUUGACUCGACGAAUGAUAAAUUUAAGUUUUUUUUUUUUUAUUUUCUAGCUUGAAACACAUACAUUAUACUCUUAUUUUCCAAAGUAGUUGUGGCAAAUUGCUGUAUUAAAGAGAAUUAAUAAUAAUUAAUCUUAGUAAUAGUUGUAAUAAUAAUGAUAAUUGUUAAUUAAAUGUAGCCGCUUAUAUUUACAAACGGUCUGAUCCAUAGAAUUGUAGAAUUUUAUAUUGAUAAAUAUUGGGAUGAUGAGUAAUUUCAUCUGUUAUAAGGUGCGAUAGUUUAUUUUAGAAAUUUGGAAUAUAAUAUACAAAAUAUAUAAAUAUUGCUAUGUAAUAUUUAUAUAAUUCGCCGUAUUGGCUGUUCUUACUGUGAUAUUCUCAUGGGUCAGGCCUCCCCCAUUACGUAAUAUUAGAUCGGUUAUUAUUACUAUGAUAAUGAAAAAACUAAUAAUAACGAUAAAAAGAUACACUCACACAGGCAAAAGUAUUACAGAAGGUGGGAGUAAAUAUCUUUUUUAGCGAUGAAUGGUUAAGGGAGAGGAAAAGUGACGUGAAAGGGUAACAUAAAACAAUAAACGAAAUUGUUACCUAUUUAUAUUUUUGACUAUAUCUGAAUCUGAAGUUUGAAAGUAGAAGUUAACUGUCUGUUCUAUGAUAACAAAACUGUUAAAGAGUUACGUGCUGAGGUUUUGUCUGUGUCGAUGUAUUUUUUUGAAAGUAGGCUCACUCCUUAAGUUCCUCCAAACAAAAGAAGAAAAAAGAAAAGAUGUUUAAUUUGUAUCUAGUUUUUCCUCAUCUUAUUUUUUUAUUAUUUGUAAAUACCAUGCUUAUACACACGAUCAACAACACAACUAUUUUUAUAUAAUUCUUGUUUUCAUCAGAGACAUAUUUUUCGAAUACGUACAUAUUUUUUAAACGUUAAGUUGCAAUACUUUAGGUGUAAAAACAGUAGUACCUGUUGAUGCUGUACAUUAUUAUCUGGGUUUUCGUUUAAUAUUUGAAAUUGAAUGUGCUCCUUAAUGCAGCUUCUUAAUGUAGUCGUCUUUUUCGCGCGAUGAUGCACUUGUUAGAAAAUCAAAAAAAUAAUAGAAAACCUUUAUUGCUCAGUAAACAUCCACUAGAUCACCUUUUCCUUUUUAAAUGUGAACUCGACAACUAUAAUAAUUUGUAAUAAACAACGCCAUGGGGCAAUCGGCUCCGCAAGAAAUUUACUCAUAUUUUUAGGAAAUACUUCAUUGAUUUAGAAAAAGAAGGACUCUUGUUACAAUAGCAGCUGAUGAUGUGUAACAUUUAAUCUUAGUAACAAAAUUUUCGUAAAAAUAUUACGCCAGGUAUUGAUUGAACUGAUUUUACAUAUUUAGUAUUAAUUUUUCAUAACGUAUUUAGAAAAAUUGCAUGAGUGUUCAAAGCUAGUAGUUUAAUAUCAGCAUAACGAGCGGUUGACAGUCAUGUCUUCUUUCUUUUUCUUCAAGCCCUAACAAAACUGAAUAGUGCGCACUUCUACUUCCUUGCUUCCGUCGAAUGAAAUUAUUCCCAUACCCUAGCGAUAAAAUAUUACACAUCGAAAAAAAAAUGUACUAAUUUUGAUUCAAAUUUAAUGUGUUAUUGAUAGUAUCAAAAUCUUGCCUAAAGAAGAUAUAGUCUUUUUUUUUUUCGAAAGUCAGCUAGUUUAAAAUUUUCAGAUAUCUACAAUUUUGGUAUCUUGAUAAGAAGCUUGCGAGGUCUUAAAUUAAUUUCAGUUUAAAAAACUAGUAACAAUUAUGAUUGAUUCCUUACGAGAUGUAUAUAAUUAUGUAGUUUAAUAACAGCUGAAAUCGUAUGAAUGUUAAAAAAAUACACAUGUAAUAUUGUAAGUCAAUGAAUACUAAUUAUAUUUAAAUUCAUGGUUAUUUUUCUUAGUUCUAUUUUAAGUGUCAAUUGAAUGUUUUUUCUUUUAUAAAAAGUUCUAAAUACCUAUCUUCAUCCUUACUAUUGCUUAAGGAUUUUUUGCUAUAUAAUAUAAAACGUUAUACAUAUGUACCAAACGAACUGAAUACCUUCUCUAAUAAUAUUUUUGUGAUGUUUUAAAUUGAUUUAUACUUAAGUGAGAUGAGUAGAUGUGCUAUUGAAUUUAGUUUGAUAUCAAUGUUUCUAAAAAAUAUUUGUGUUGUAACAUUGUUGAGAGGCUGUAUCCGAAGCCAAGUGAAAAGGAGUUAGACUGCUUGUGUAAAUAGUAAACAAAAAAAACUACUUUUGAGUAAAUGGCUAUUUUUAGCUGAAGAUUUCAUUUGUACCUACUUUAUAAACUUUUUUGUUAAUUAAUUAACUGCUCGCAACAUGGAAUUUUCAGCAUGUUUGUGCCUUUUUAUUUUUUUUUUAUUUAUUUUUAUUCGUCUCUGUUACUACUUGAACAUAAAUAUGUAUUUUGGGGCCUAGUCCAAUUUUAUAAUGAAUAUUCUGGUUUUGUUUUUUCGUUUUUAUUACCAUUAUUAUGUAAAUCUACAUACCACGCUCCUACGAUCACAACCAUGCAGCAUUCCUUAUAAAAACUGUUGUAGUAUUUCAUGUUUUAAUUUUUUUCAUAGUGAAGUUUGAAUUGAUAAUUUGUGUUAAUGACAUUACAGGAAUUUACUGUUAUUAACUACAAAGUUUCCUUCUAAAAUUGGCCAUUGAAGACGCAAACUAAAUGUAUUAAGGAUAUAAUUGAAUAAAAGUUUCGAAAUAUGUCCCGA
RNAcentral lists this unclassified non-coding RNA (7032 nucleotides) under Agrilus planipennis (emerald ash borer). RNAcentral describes it as "nuclear pore complex protein Nup153, transcript variant X1". The record is from RNAcentral. Lineage: Eukaryota; Metazoa; Arthropoda; Insecta; Coleoptera; Buprestidae.